UACGUAGGGUGCAAGCGUUAAUCGGAAUUACUGGGCGUAAAGGGUGCGCAGGCGGAUUAGCAAGUUAGAUGUGAAAUACCUAGGCUUAACCUGGGAGAGUCAUUUAAUACUGCUUAUCUAGAGUUUAUCAGAGGGAGGUAGAAUUCCGAGUGUAGCAGUGAAAUGCGUAGAUAUUCGGAGGAAUACCAAUGGCGAAGGCAGCCUCCUGGGAUAAAACUGACGCUCAGGCACGAAAGCGUGGGGAGCAAAC
RNAcentral lists this ribosomal RNA (250 nucleotides) under uncultured beta proteobacterium. Its description in RNAcentral is "partial 16S ribosomal RNA". It matches the Rfam family "Bacterial small subunit ribosomal RNA", at positions 524 to 773 of the family's 1533-position model. The record is from RNAcentral. Lineage: Bacteria; Pseudomonadati; Pseudomonadota; Betaproteobacteria.